AUACUCUGGUUUUCUAUUCAGAUCGUAUAAAUCUUCCACCUUUUACUAAAGGGUUCCACAAAGAAAGAGAACAUGGAUGAGUUUUGUCCUAAUGUUUUGAGGCCCCAAAAAUUCAAUUUUUGAU
Molecule: small nuclear RNA, 124 nt
Organism: Ophiophagus hannah (king cobra)
Lineage: Eukaryota; Metazoa; Chordata; Lepidosauria; Squamata; Elapidae
Rfam family: U5 spliceosomal RNA
About the family: U5 RNA is a component of both types of known spliceosome. The precise function of this molecule is unknown, though it is known that the 5' loop is required for splice site selection and p220 binding, and that both the 3' stem-loop and the Sm site are important for Sm protein binding and cap methylation.
Source: Rfam